This 1542-nucleotide ribosomal RNA is filed under the name Salmonella enterica subsp. enterica serovar Uganda. Its description in RNAcentral is "bacterial SSU rRNA". It matches the Rfam family "Bacterial small subunit ribosomal RNA". The record is from RNAcentral. Lineage: Bacteria; Pseudomonadati; Pseudomonadota; Gammaproteobacteria; Enterobacterales; Enterobacteriaceae.
AAAUUGAAGAGUUUGAUCAUGGCUCAGAUUGAACGCUGGCGGCAGGCCUAACACAUGCAAGUCGAACGGUAACAGGAAGCAGCUUGCUGCUUUGCUGACGAGUGGCGGACGGGUGAGUAAUGUCUGGGAAACUGCCUGAUGGAGGGGGAUAACUACUGGAAACGGUGGCUAAUACCGCAUAACGUCGCAAGACCAAAGAGGGGGACCUUCGGGCCUCUUGCCAUCAGAUGUGCCCAGAUGGGAUUAGCUAGUUGGUGAGGUAACGGCUCACCAAGGCGACGAUCCCUAGCUGGUCUGAGAGGAUGACCAGCCACACUGGAACUGAGACACGGUCCAGACUCCUACGGGAGGCAGCAGUGGGGAAUAUUGCACAAUGGGCGCAAGCCUGAUGCAGCCAUGCCGCGUGUAUGAAGAAGGCCUUCGGGUUGUAAAGUACUUUCAGCGGGGAGGAAGGUGUUGCGGUUAAUAACCGCAGCAAUUGACGUUACCCGCAGAAGAAGCACCGGCUAACUCCGUGCCAGCAGCCGCGGUAAUACGGAGGGUGCAAGCGUUAAUCGGAAUUACUGGGCGUAAAGCGCACGCAGGCGGUCUGUCAAGUCGGAUGUGAAAUCCCCGGGCUCAACCUGGGAACUGCAUUCGAAACUGGCAGGCUUGAGUCUUGUAGAGGGGGGUAGAAUUCCAGGUGUAGCGGUGAAAUGCGUAGAGAUCUGGAGGAAUACCGGUGGCGAAGGCGGCCCCCUGGACAAAGACUGACGCUCAGGUGCGAAAGCGUGGGGAGCAAACAGGAUUAGAUACCCUGGUAGUCCACGCCGUAAACGAUGUCUACUUGGAGGUUGUGCCCUUGAGGCGUGGCUUCCGGAGCUAACGCGUUAAGUAGACCGCCUGGGGAGUACGGCCGCAAGGUUAAAACUCAAAUGAAUUGACGGGGGCCCGCACAAGCGGUGGAGCAUGUGGUUUAAUUCGAUGCAACGCGAAGAACCUUACCUGGUCUUGACAUCCACGGAAGUUUUCAGAGAUGAGAAUGUGCCUUCGGGAACCGUGAGACAGGUGCUGCAUGGCUGUCGUCAGCUCGUGUUGUGAAAUGUUGGGUUAAGUCCCGCAACGAGCGCAACCCUUAUCCUUUGUUGCCAGCGGUCCGGCCGGGAACUCAAAGGAGACUGCCAGUGAUAAACUGGAGGAAGGUGGGGAUGACGUCAAGUCAUCAUGGCCCUUACGACCAGGGCUACACACGUGCUACAAUGGCGCAUACAAAGAGAAGCGACCUCGCGAGAGCAAGCGGACCUCAUAAAGUGCGUCGUAGUCCGGAUUGGAGUCUGCAACUCGACUCCAUGAAGUCGGAAUCGCUAGUAAUCGUGGAUCAGAAUGCCACGGUGAAUACGUUCCCGGGCCUUGUACACACCGCCCGUCACACCAUGGGAGUGGGUUGCAAAAGAAGUAGGUAGCUUAACCUUCGGGAGGGCGCUUACCACUUUGUGAUUCAUGACUGGGGUGAAGUCGUAACAAGGUAACCGUAGGGGAACCUGCGGUUGGAUCACCUCCUUA